AUAAGAACCUAAAGAUUAAAAUCAGAGAGAACUGCAAAGAAGAUCAGAAAUUUAAUAUAUCGGGAAGAUCAAGGCCCUCAAUUGUUUAUGGAGCCUGAUAGAAGGCACAUUGAGAAAAAGAUCAGAGCAGGUGAAGGUGGAAGCAGAGAUGUGACUUGUGGUGCCACAAUCCAGCAACACCUGGAUCCUCCAGAAGCUGGCAGUGACAAAAACAGACUCCUCUUUAGGGCCUUUAUUGGGAGCAUGAACCUGGUACCAUAGUCUCAGACCUUGGCUCCAGAUUUUUCAUCAGGUGCUACUGACUCUUAGGACUCAGAAGGUUCCCCUCUCUCCUGUGUUUGAGCUGUUCCAGUUCUCAGCCUGAACUUCGCACCCCUCAUACAGUGGCCUGGGGAUUUCUGAAUCUGUCACACCAUGAGCAAGCAGAAGAGGAAGAGCAAUAUUUCUGGACUAUUCAUCAAGACAUCUCAUUCCACAAGCAGCAUCUGACUUUGUUAAGAAACAAAAAGGCAUUCAACCAGAAGCCAGAGGCAACAUGAUUUAUGGGGUUGGAAGAAUCAUUGUUUUAACCAUCUCAAAAUAGAAUCUUCUCUAUAAGAGCAAGGAUCAUGUUUCAUUUCUGAAUGCUACUGCCUAGCUCAGCAUCUGCUACACA
Long non-coding RNA from Heterocephalus glaber (naked mole-rat), 655 nucleotides. RefSeq lists it as uncharacterized. NCBI's taxonomy places the organism in Eukaryota, Metazoa, Chordata, Mammalia, Rodentia, Bathyergidae. The record is from RefSeq and is a predicted model, not a curated record.